This 308-nucleotide small nuclear RNA is filed under the name Neogale vison (American mink). RNAcentral's name for it is "Neovison vison (American mink) 7SK RNA (ENSNVIG00000001178.1)". It matches the Rfam family "7SK RNA". From Rfam's summary of the family: 7SK was discovered as an abundant small nuclear RNA in the mid-70s but a possible function has only recently been suggested. Two independent studies have found that 7SK RNA binds the CDK9/cyclin T complex (known as elongation factor P-TEFb). Lineage: Eukaryota; Metazoa; Chordata; Mammalia; Carnivora; Mustelidae. The record is from Rfam by way of RNAcentral.
GGGUGUGAGGACAAGCGCUGGGACACCGGUCAGUCCGUCCUUGCCGGGGUCAACCUGCUGACCGGGCUGGCCAGGCGGGGUCCCCAACCGCAUCCCUCACCGAUCCGUGUGUGUCCCUCUGGAAGCUGCUCCUGCGGGCCACGCGGACCCUUCUGCGGAGAGGAGGACCGUUCUUCAGUCAAGGGCAGUGAGUGACAGCGGCCUCGGCUUCAUCCUCCAAACAAGCCCUCGUGCGUUUGUGCAGGACGUAGGGCGGUCAAGCUUCCAAGACCCAGACACCUCCAAAUGAGGCACGUGUGCCGCCCUCU